RNAcentral lists this unclassified non-coding RNA (403 nucleotides) under soil metagenome. RNAcentral describes it as "partial contains 5.8S ribosomal RNA, internal transcribed spacer 2, and large subunit ribosomal RNA". The stretch from base 1 to 121 matches the Rfam family "5.8S ribosomal RNA", at positions 35 to 154 of the family's 154-position model. The record is from RNAcentral.
GAUGAAGAACGUAGCGAAAUGCGAUAAGUAAUGUGAAUUACAGAAUUCAGUGAAUCAUCGAAUCUUUGAACGCACCUUGCGCCCUUUGGCUAUUCCGAAGGGCAUGCCUGUUUGAGUAUCAUGAACACCUCAACUCUCAUGGCUUGCCAUGACGAGCUUGGACUUUGGGGGUCUUGCUGGCCUGUGGUCAGCUCCUCUCAAAUGAAUUAGCUUGCCAGUGUUUGGUGGCAUCACGGGUGUGAUAACUCUCUACGCUUGUGGUCCUCCACCAGGUAACCUUCCAGUGAUGGGGGUUCGCUGGGGCUUAUAAAUGUCUCUCCUCAGUGAGGACAGCUCUUUGAACGUUUGAUCUCAAAUCAGGUAGGACUACCCGCUGAACUUAAGCAUAUCAAUAAGCGGAGGA